This 69-nucleotide transfer RNA is filed under the name Craugastor chac (Chac's rainfrog). Its description in RNAcentral is "tRNA-Trp". It matches the Rfam family "tRNA". From Rfam's summary of the family: Transfer RNA (tRNA) molecules are approximately 80 nucleotides in length. Their secondary structure includes four short double-helical elements and three loops (D, anti-codon, and T loops). Lineage: Eukaryota; Metazoa; Chordata; Amphibia; Anura; Craugastoridae. The record is from RNAcentral.
AGAAACUUAGGAUAAACAAACCCUGAGCCUUCAAAGCUCAGAAUAGAGGUUGGACCCCUCUAGUUUCUA